This 460-nucleotide ribosomal RNA is filed under the name Gemella morbillorum. Its description in RNAcentral is "bacterial SSU rRNA". It matches the Rfam family "Bacterial small subunit ribosomal RNA", at positions 28 to 473 of the family's 1533-position model. Lineage: Bacteria; Bacillati; Bacillota; Bacilli; Caryophanales; Gemellaceae. The record is from RNAcentral.
GACGAACGCUGGCGGCGUGCCUAAUACAUGCAAGUCGAGCGAAGUUUUUCUGGUGCUUGCACUAGAAAAACUUAGCGGCGAACGGGUGAGUAACACGUAAAGAACCUGCCUCAUAGACUGGGACAACUAUUGGAAACGAUAGCUAAUACCGGAUAACAGUAUUUCUCGCAUGAGAGAUAUUUAAAAGUUGGUUAUGCUAACACUAUGAGAUGGCUUUGCGGUGCAUUAGCUAGUUGGUGGGGUAAAGGCCCACCAAGGCGACGAUGCAUAGCCGACCUGAGAGGGUGAUCGGCCACACUGGGACUGAGACACGGCCCAGACUCCUACGGGAGGCAGCAGUAGGGAAUCUUCCGCAAUGGGCGAAAGCCUGACGGAGCAACGCCGCGUGAGUGAAGAAGGAUUUCGGUUCGUAAAGCUCUGUUGUUAGGGAAGAAUGGAUAUGUAGUAACUAUACAUGUAC